GGAUCUUUUUUAAAUAAUUUUAUUUACUAUUCGUUUCUUUUCAUUUAUAUUAUAUCUCGAUAAUCAAGCUUGCAAAGACAAAUUUUGAGCAGAGUAUGCUACUAAUUUUUGAUGGCAAGAAUAUAACACUAUAACUCAAUUUGAAUCAUUGUCAGUUAUAGACAUAUACAUAUUAAUCAUUUUAUAUUAACCUUUUGAAGAUGAGAACUUUCUAACAAUAGGUUAUUUAUAGAAAACAUUGUUUUUUGAAGGCUUUUUACAAUCGUUGAAUUCCAUUCUAAACUCAAAACUCUUAAGUUCAGUACUAAAUUUCUAAAGUUCAAAAUUUAAUUUGAACGAAUUUUGCAUAUAUUCUGUUUAUAACAAAACUCGAUUUUUAAGAGUUUACAAGAUUAUUAAAUUUAAAAUGAAUGUAAUCUAAAAAUAUUAAAAUUUAAAAAAGUAACUUUCAGUGAAGGAGAAAUUUGUGUUCAUAAUCAUAUUAUCCCCUUCUCCUCUACAAAAAUUAUAAAUGUUUUAUUUUUCAUCUGUUACAUUAUAAAAAAAUUUGUAUUCCGAUAACUGAAAAGUUUGUUGGUUAAUUUUCGCGCGUAACACUCUGUAACUAUUGCAUGAUUUGAAUAUCCAGUAAUUAAUUUUUUUAAUUUAGCUGCACGUAAUUCUUAAAGAGUGACAAGAAGAUAAGUUUUACAUUCACAAUUUGUAAUAUAAAAAAGUUCAUGCUUUUUUAUUCUGUUCCAGGCGUAUGGUAAUGUGCAAUCUGCGCAAAUAAUUUACAAAAAUGAUAGGCAGCCUUUUCUAUUAGCCAGUUCUUCCGAUUCAUCGCCAUCUAUACCUUCCUAUAAUGUCAACAGCGGCAGAAAUAAUCUUUUAAAUAGGACAGAGUUCUCAUGUUCGUCAGCAGUGUCAUUAAAUUCACCGAUUGCUGUAAACAGUGAAGAAACCAUCAUAAAAAGUGAAGAGUGUGAAUUUUCUUCAGAAGUGGACGUCAAAGACUUUAUUGUUGACCGUGCUCUACAAUUCGAACACGAAAUUGAAAGAGAAAUCCCAGACACUUCACAUGACCCCAAACGUUUCGCUUCCGAAACUGUGCAAACUGUUCCACUUGAAGCAUCGGAAGAUAGUACUCAACAGCUAUCGGCCAAUGAUCCUGAGAAUAAAAAUCCCUUAUUGAUCCUGUUACGAAAAAAUGGACCGCAGUGUCAAAAACUUGUCGAUAACUGUCAUCGCAACGACAUGGUGCCGGAAGGAAAGGAUAUAAACUUGAUUGCCAGAAUUACUAUUAAACACUUGAUUAGCUUGGCCACUCCUCCAAAACAAAAAUUAAAGACGUCAGUCCUUGUACAGUGGGCCAAGUACUUCAAGCAUCUUUUCCCGAAAACACCGGCGUCCUCCUUUUAUGCCUUUAAGUACGAAUCAUGUAGAUCACUAUAAUUCAGAAGAAAAGAGCGGAAGGAGCACUGCAGGUUCAACUCUUCCAAGAACGGAAGAAAUUAAUCAAAGAAGACCGAGCUGUUCUUCUCAGAUGUCCAAAAGCAAACCGUAUCGGCAGCAACAAAAUUCCAGGUCCUUCGAGCAACACACCUAUUAACAGAAAUAUCUGGAGACUCGUCAGUCCGCAGAAAAGAGACGAGGUGCGGCCUUGCGACAAGGACUCGAUAGAAAUCGAUUCGAAAUUGCAAUGGCACUUAAAUUAUUUACGCAAUCAAUUGCAUAACAAGCUUGCCUCGCAAUUGGUAACCUCUUGGAAAGCUAUUUUUAACUACAGAUUCGAACGACUUGUAAAUCAGCCGGGAACUGUGUGGGAUUAUUUAAAUAAAUUUCCAUUGUUGAAAAUCGAAGGCAUUGGAAAGGCUUUAGACAAAAAGAAAAUUAACUUGAUUCAAAUAACUCUUAUAUUACUUUCUUUUACAAUAUCGCUGAGCAAAAAGAAACCACAGUGAAAAAGAGAAGCCUAAUAGAUGAUUUGAUGAAAAACAUCGCUAAUAGAAUUAUGAGCACAUGACGAAAAGAUCUAGUCUAGUUUUCACUUUGCCGAAAAAAUAACCAUACGACGAUGACGAAAAGACGUCUUUUUAUGUUGUCUUUUAGUAUUUUGUGUAUUUUAGUAUUUUGUGCUGUUUGAGUAUUGCUCCUCACAUUAUGAUAAAUAUGUUUUAUAUGUGUAGAUUUGUAAGGAUUUCGAACAACUAUAUCCAAACUCCAUGGCAAAAAGCUCGGGAAAGUUAGCUGAAAAGUUAAACGAUCAUAGACUUGCAAUUAUCAAAACGGCCAAAAUAGUUCUUAAAAGAACAACCCAAAAAGAAUAUAAAAAUAGAAUUACUGUGUUCCUUGAUUUGGCUGAACGUAAGUUUUACUUUACCAUAUAAUAAAAGUGUGCGAAUAGUUUGAAUCGAGUCGAAUAAAAUCACAAUAGAUUCCAAUCACAAUAGAUUCGAAUUCGUUUUCGAAUCUAAAAGAUUUGAGUACGAAUAGUUCGAGAAUCAUUGAUGUUUCGAAUUUAAACCAAUUGUCUAUUUUGAUUGCUUUAUUUGUAUCUACCGCAAAACCCCAAUGAUGUAUAUGCGCAUACCAAUUCUUAUGCAUAAUUGUUUGUCGAUUUCCAAGACUUUUCUACUGUUCCUAAAAUUUAUAGAAUAUUCAAUUCAAAACUAUGCGUAUGCAAUAAAUGAUACUCGUCUUCGUAAAUUUAUAUCAACAUUUCAUAAGAUCAGAAUGUUUACAUCAUAAAUUUGCAAUUAUGAAUUUUGAAACAAAACUUGAAAUCGAUUACAUUUUUGUAUAAAGUGCACUAAGGUACUUUAAUAGUAACAUUAUAAUUUAUCUGCUAUAUAUCUAAUGCUUAUAAAAUAUAAACAUGAUAUUUGGUAACAUCACUAAUAGACAGCUAAUUUUUUGUAUCUUUCAAACAUACUGGGUAUAUAUUUAUUAACUUAUAAGAAAUGCUUAUUUACAUAUGCAUUUAUCAACAUAAUACUUGCACACAUUUGUUGUUUAGUAUCUAACAUAAAUUUAUAUUUAGCAUAUGAUUUUCGUAAUUGUUUUAUAAAAUUCCUGCACUAUUUAAUUUUUCUUCUAUUUAAAAGAAAAAUAAUGUUAUUAAAAAUACUUUCUUACAUUUAAAUUAUCAUAUAUAAUGUAAUUCUGAGAAACAUUAAUGAAAAUUGAAUUCGAUUCGUAUUCGAAUCGUAGAAAUUUGAUUCGAUUUGAUUCAACAUGAAAAUUUCAAAUUCAAUUUCAAAUAUGUUACGAUUCGAUUCGAUUUUACAAAUGUUUAAUUCGUAUGCCUAAGCAUUCAUAUCUUUAUGUUAGUGUAACAAUUGAAACUAUAUACCAGCCUUACAAAAGAAAAAUUAUAAGAAUAGGAAAAAAUUACUGAUAUGCAAUUCUUUAAUAAUAAUUUUUUACUAAUAAUUCUUGCUGGUAGUCCUGAUUUU
Long non-coding RNA from Solenopsis invicta (red fire ant), 3437 nucleotides. RefSeq lists it as uncharacterized. Lineage: Eukaryota; Metazoa; Arthropoda; Insecta; Hymenoptera; Formicidae. The record is from RefSeq and is a predicted model, not a curated record. The transcript has 3 exons.